Contarinia nasturtii (swede midge) is the source of this 1064-nucleotide long non-coding RNA. RefSeq lists it as uncharacterized. The record is from RefSeq and is a predicted model, not a curated record. Lineage: Eukaryota; Metazoa; Arthropoda; Insecta; Diptera; Cecidomyiidae. The transcript has 2 exons.
CCCUGUUGUCUCAUUGAGCCAUGUCGUAAUACUCGAAGAUCCGAAUGUUCGAGCAAUGGCGUAGUGUCCAUGUAUUUGUGUAUUUGUAUAUGCUGUACUCUUUCGCGUUUCGAUGGUAGUCCAUGUGAGUUAGAGUGGCGACGAAUUUAAUGCGUGAAUUGUAAAAGAACCGAACCUAUAUUCGUCUCGUUCGUGCAACUUUGUUUCACUUACGUUUUAUUAUUAUUCGAUGACAGAAUAAACAGAAUUUUUGUUAUUGGCUAUAUGAAUACACUCGACUUACACAUUGUACAAUGAUGUGAGCGUAAACAUUACAUCGUAUUACUUAACAAAAGACAAAAUCAAAAGACACACAGGAAUUUGGGAAAAAAUUUGGUCCUAAACAUUAAAAACAACUAGAGUGGCAUUAUUUUUUAUUAAAGAAGUUGUAAAAAAAGAUCAAUAUAAGGUUUAUUUUGAUCAGUGUGAGUCGAAAAAAAAAAUGUUGACAGAAUGAAAGAUAGUGAAUUCUAUGUGUAUUCAUUCAAUGGGUGUUCAAAAAUAUAUAGCUGAACUGAAAGAAGAAAAAAAGCCACUACAAGACAAGAAAAUGAGCUGAGUGUUGUCGGCGAAAUACAAAUUGCGCUACAAAGACAAAUGCUACGGUUUGAACAGUGACCAAGUAAAACAAUUAGAAGAACAUUGCUAUAUUGAAAAAAAUCAGUGAUUUUAUUUUGAGUUUAAACUGAAUUUUGAUUCUAAUAAAAUAUUGAAAUAAAAUCGUGACCAAAAAAAAAAAUCAAAUUAGAAUCAGGGAGAAGGAAAAGGAAAAAAAGUUGAGUUCCGAAAAUCAAAUUGAUGUAGUGGUGUGCAUGCAUUAUAGUGAUAUCAUCGUCGUGAAUUCAGUGUUUAUUUUAUAUUAUUAUUUUUAUAUAUAUACGUAUAUAAUUUGAUCAUCUAAUUUUUUGAUAAAUCAUGUCUCGUUCAUUUUGGAAGUGGUUUUAAAUCGUCUCUGCACGAGAUAAUAAAGUUAAUGUAUUGGCCUUGAAAUUGGUUGGUAGAUACAAAUACCACCCGAACUUUGU